This is a long non-coding RNA of Lutra lutra (Eurasian river otter), 400 nucleotides long. RefSeq lists it as uncharacterized. The record is from RefSeq and is a predicted model, not a curated record. NCBI's taxonomy places the organism in Eukaryota, Metazoa, Chordata, Mammalia, Carnivora, Mustelidae. The transcript has 3 exons.
CGCUCCCAGGGCUUCUGACCAUCAGGACCGGGGCAGACCCAGAGCCUAUCUCUAUGGAGCCUUGAGCGGGGACCAGCACAGUUGAGAAAGCAGCAACACUGCUUCCUUUGUCAACUGCAUCCAUUCCAAGACAAAGAAUGCCUGGACUGUGAGAGAAUCCUACACAGAGAUGACGAUGGGAGAAGAGGGACCUUUUUUCUUGUUUCCAACACCCACAUCAAUAGGCCUCUUUUCCCAUUUUAAAGUGCCCGACAUAAAGAACGUUCCACUUUGGUCAGGUGGGCUGCAGAGAAUUGAUUGGAAUAUUCAUCUGCAAAACUCGGUUUGGACACCUUAUCGGCUUUUCAUUCCUCCAGAUACAGCCUGCCUUCUGGUGCCUGAGAUUUCCUCCUCACGUCAC